UCAACUAAAUGAUUAGCAAUGAGUUGAAAUUUGGCACAUUUCAUAAUAGACUAAAGAAAGCCUUGUGGAGAUCUAAUUUACUGUAGUUUUUAUUCUUCAUACAAAUUUGGACCACUACACUAUAUGUUAAGAAUAUGAUUGGUAACUUUUCCGUCUGUUAUAUGAAAUAAACCAUUUUUAGUAGUAACUUAAUAAAGUUAUAACUAUAUAAUGUUAGAUGAUAUAAAAAAAUAUAUCAUCUAACAUCGUUACAAGAAACGUAAAAAGGAAUAUUAAAAAACCCCUCCUAUGAAAAGUCUAGGAAUAAAUACUUACAUUGAAUGCUUAUGCAUAACUUUAAUUAUUGGAUUGUUAUAACAACUUAGGCAUUAUUACGGAAAAGUUAUAAUAUUUUUAAAUAAUGAGUGUGCCUUAUUUUGAAAGUAUUUAAGAAUGAUGAUUAUGAAAGUCAUGUGACGAGAAAGGUAUUACGAAUGAAUGUGGAGGGAUGGAACGGGAGAGGAAAACCUAGGAAACGGUGGAUGGAUUGUGUGAGAGAUGACAUGAAACGAACGCGAGUGAAUGAUGAGAUGACGGGUGGCAGAAAAAUAUGGAAGAAAAAGACAUGCUGCGCCGACCCCAAAUGAAUGGGAUAAGGGCAAGCGAAUGAUGAUUAUGAUUAUGUUUCUGUAAUGUUUGAUUUCUUUUUUAGGUUUGAUUAUAUAUUUGAUUAUAAAAUAAUAAUAAUUAUCUGAGUAUUUGGAUUAAAUAGUUAUUUACCUAAUUGACUGAUUAAUUAUGAUACAUCUUCGACUUAAAUCUUCUAGUUCCUUAACCCCCUUGAGUUAUAAAAUGGUUGACGACGUACGUACGAGUUGCAUAUUUACUCAUUGUUUCGAGGUUUUUGACGUAAUAUGUAAAAAAAUUAUAAAUAAAUAAACAAAUAAUAAAAUAAAAUUAAUUUCAGUACAUCAAAACUAUAACUGCCAAAAAUGAGGGACAACUGCAAAUGAUCGUUACAAAACUUAGUGCAAUGAGAAACAAGCUUAAU
This is a long non-coding RNA of Cydia pomonella (codling moth), 1030 nucleotides long. RefSeq lists it as uncharacterized. The transcript is spliced from 2 exons. Lineage: Eukaryota; Metazoa; Arthropoda; Insecta; Lepidoptera; Tortricidae. The record is from RefSeq and is a predicted model, not a curated record.